GAAAUAACUUAGAUUUCGUUAACAUCUAUUGUAGACUCCGAUUUUGUAGACGAGGAUUAUCAAGAGCGCUAACCGUUCGUGAACUUAACUUUUGGGCACGCGUCACGAGGUGGGUGAUCGAUCGGGGGAACAAAAGGGAGAUCAUUUAGAGUUGUCAUCCACUUAGCAUUUGAUUAGCUUCCGCUGGAACUCUGAAACAUUUUAAUUAAUUAGUAAUGUUAAUGAACGAUUUACUUAUUUGUAAUGAUUAAUGAAAGUGAGAUGGUGUGUUGUAACUUA
Long non-coding RNA from Beta vulgaris subsp. vulgaris (sugar beet), 279 nucleotides. RefSeq lists it as uncharacterized. The transcript is spliced from 2 exons. Lineage: Eukaryota; Viridiplantae; Streptophyta; Magnoliopsida; Caryophyllales; Amaranthaceae. The record is from RefSeq and is a predicted model, not a curated record.